CUUUCCCUCUUUCUUCAGGCCUAACACAUGCAAGUCGAGCGGAUGAAGGGAGCUUGCUCCUGGAUUCAGCGGCGGACGGGUGAGUAAUGCCUAGGAAUCUGCCUGGUAGUGGGGGAUAACGUCCGGAAACGGGCGCUAAUACCGCAUACGUCCUGAGGGAGAAAGUGGGGGAUCUUCGGACUUCACGCUAUCAGAUAACCCUAGGUCGGAUUAGCUAGUUGGUGGGGUAACGGCCUACCAAGGCGGCGUUCCGUAACUGGUCUGUGAGGAUGAUCAGUCACACUGGAACUGAGACACGGUCCAGACUCCUACGGGAGGCAGCAGUGGGGAAUAUUGGACGAUGGGCGAAAGCCUGAUCCAGCCAUGCCGCGUGUGUGAAGAAGGUCUUCGGAUUGUAAAGCACUUUAAGUUGGGAGGAAGGGCAGUAAGUUAAUACCUUGCUGUUUUGACGUUACCAGCAGAAUAAGCACCGGCUAACUUCGUG
RNAcentral lists this ribosomal RNA (484 nucleotides) under uncultured bacterium. RNAcentral's name for it is "partial 16S ribosomal RNA". It matches the Rfam family "Bacterial small subunit ribosomal RNA", at positions 36 to 507 of the family's 1533-position model. The record is from RNAcentral.